ACGAACGCUGGCGGCGUGCUUAACACAUGCAAGUCGAACGGUGAAGCCCUUCGGGGUGGAUCAGUGGCGAACGGGUGAGUAACACGUGGGUAACCUGCCCUGCACUCUGGGAUAACUCCGGGAAACCGGGGCUAAUACCGGAUACGAGCCUGGUCCGCAUGGACCGGGUUGGAAAGUUUUUCGGUGCAGGAUGGACCCGCGGCCUAUCAGCUUGUUGGUGGGGUAAUGGCCCACCAAGGCGAUGACGGGUAGCCG
This 255-nucleotide ribosomal RNA is filed under the name Catenulispora sp. ISOM401_OTU3805. RNAcentral's name for it is "partial 16S ribosomal RNA". It matches the Rfam family "Bacterial small subunit ribosomal RNA", at positions 29 to 289 of the family's 1533-position model. Lineage: Bacteria; Bacillati; Actinomycetota; Actinomycetes; Catenulisporales; Catenulisporaceae. The record is from RNAcentral.